This is a long non-coding RNA of Platichthys flesus (European flounder), 1683 nucleotides long. RefSeq lists it as uncharacterized. NCBI's taxonomy places the organism in Eukaryota, Metazoa, Chordata, Actinopteri, Pleuronectiformes, Pleuronectidae. The transcript has 2 exons. The record is from RefSeq and is a predicted model, not a curated record.
ACAGAGGAAGCUACUGAAACACAGGAAGUGCAAGAGCAAAGAGGAAACCCAGAGUUGUCAUUAAUUUGAGGACAGUUACAAAGACAUGAAACCAGCGUUGAGAUCAGAAAAGGAAAAGGGACAAAGACGUAUUAAUAGCAUGGAACAGGUUUUCCUCAUUCUGAUUCUUGCAGGAGGAUUCUGGAAAACUGAAGCUACAACUGUAGAAGGAGAGCUGGGUUGCGCUGGGUCUGCGCUUUGCAUUUGUAAUAUUAAAAUCUAAUGUGUGUAAAUCUUCUUGGAGGUAAUUGUACUUGUCGUUCUUUCCUGCGGAGAUCAACAUUUCCCUGUUCCUGACUGCAGCGAUGUGUGUGGCAGCCAUACUGUUGUGUGUCUGUUCACACUGUGUCUCCUGUGCGUUGUUAAACACCAGAGAUCCGGCCCACGCCAGAACAGAGAGGUCAGUUUGUGACGGAAACAUCUGCAACCAUGUUAGCAGUGAGAUCCAGACUGAACUACCUCUCAGGGACGGCUCUUCUCCUUCAGUCUCUGAUGUGUCUCCCAGUUAAGCACCAGUUGUAUGACAUCAUCAACACGCUGGAUUCCUCAGAGAAUUCCUCACUCUUUUCCCAGUUUGACUCAAUCAGACAUCACACAGACUUAGAGAAGAAGAGCUGUUCAUUUGGUGCAGUCCAGUGGAUUCAGUCGUUUGUGUUCAUAUCUGUCUACACUGUGCAUGUGAAAGUAUUUUUAAUGUUUUUUCCUUGUUAAAGACAACACAUUGCCUUGCAAGCAAACACACAAUCUCAUACAGAGAAUAGUUUGAUCUCUCAUACUGAUCACAGUUCACUGUCGGCAUGUUUCUGUUCCCUUCACAGAUAUCAGCGGGAAUCCGCAUGGAUAUUAAGUUUCUUGCCUUUCAUCUCUCUGGGCAAACUCUGGGGGUGUCCAAUAGUACCAAAUACUUAGGGCACAUUAUUCAUGCACGUUAGAGGAUGAUGCCGACAUGUUCAGACAGAGGAGAUUGCUCUAUGUCCAAGCUAACAUGUUGGUUAGAAAAUUCCACCACUGUACAGUUGAUGUAAAUAUUAAUUUGUUUAGAGCCUACUGCACCCCUCUCUAUACAGCUCCACUCUGGGUGAAUUGCAAGAAGGAGAGCUUGCGUAAGCUUAAAGUAGCCUAUAAUGACUGUCUUAGAUUACUCCUGCAUAAACCCAGGAGUACUAGAGCCAGUGAGCUAUUCUGUAAUAUGGGUCUAACCACCUUCAUGGCCUUGCUGAGGAACCUUAUUUUUAAGUUUAUGAGUCGGCUGGACCGCUCAACAAAUUCUAUAAUUGAUCUGAUGACAGACACUGUCCGCAGCUUUGUUAAGUACACAUCUAAGAUCUGGGAACACUGGCAUGAGGGCCUUUUUUAGCCCUUCUUUCCUUGUAUAUUUCUGUGUAAUGUAUUGAUUGUAUGUUUUGUCUUUUUAUACUCAGGGCCUUGAGCCUGUCAUAAAGUUUAAUAAUUUACAACUUAGGUCUUGUUUCUAAAUAUUUAGACAGCACCUCAAAUCGUCAAUUAUAACUUCCUACUUUCUGAGAUACCUUCGUGCUAAUAGAAUAUUAAUAAUAUUAUAUGUGGCCAAAACAAAAAUGUUUCAUAUGUUUUUUAUGAACCUUAACUGUUCGUAAACUAUAAUAAAUUCCAAAUUCAACAAUU